UACGUAGGGUGCGAGCGUUAAUCGGAAUUACUGGGCGUAAAGCGUGCGCAGGCUGUUGCGUAAGACAGAUGUGAAAUCCCUGGGCUUAACCUAGGAAUUGCAUUUGUGACUGCGCGGCUAGAGUGCGGCAGAGGGGGAUGGAAUUCCGCGUGUAGCAGUGAAAUGCGUAGAUAUGCGGAGGAACACCGAUGGCGAAGGCAAUCCCCUGGGCCUGCACUGACGCUCAUGCACGAAAGCGUGGGGAGCAAACAGG
This 253-nucleotide ribosomal RNA is filed under the name uncultured bacterium. Its description in RNAcentral is "partial 16S ribosomal RNA". It matches the Rfam family "Bacterial small subunit ribosomal RNA", at positions 524 to 776 of the family's 1533-position model. The record is from RNAcentral.